Molecule: transfer RNA, 80 nt
Filed under: Araneus ventricosus
Lineage: Eukaryota; Metazoa; Arthropoda; Arachnida; Araneae; Araneidae
Description: tRNA-Leu
Source: RNAcentral
UGGCAGAAGUGGGAUUCUAACCCACGCCAAGAAAGACUGGUGCCUAAAACCAGCGCCUUAGACCACUCGGCCACGCUACC